GACGAACGCUGGCGGCGUGCUUAACACAUGCAAGUCGAACGGAAAGGCCUCUUUCGGGGGGUACUCGAGUGGCGAACGGGUGAGUAACACGUGAGUAACCUGCCCUUGACUUUGGGAUAACUUCAGGAAACUGGGGCUAAUACCGGAUAGGAGCUCCUGCUGCAUGGUGGGGGUUGGAAAGUUUCGGCGGUUGGGGAUGGACUCGCGGCUUAUCAGCUUGUUGGUGGGGUAGUGGCUCACCAAGGCUUUGACGGGUAGCCGGCCUGAGAGGGUGACCGGCCACAUUGGGACUGAGAUACGGCCCAGACUCCUACGGGAGGCAGCAGUGGGGAAUAUUGCACAAUGGGUGGAAGCCUGAUGCAGCAACGCCGUGUGCGGGAUGACGGCCUUCGGGUUGUAAACCGCUUUCGCUCAUGACGAAGCUUUGUGUGACGGUAGUGGGUAAAGAAGCACCGGCUAACUACGUG
This 467-nucleotide ribosomal RNA is filed under the name uncultured bacterium. RNAcentral describes it as "partial 16S ribosomal RNA". It matches the Rfam family "Bacterial small subunit ribosomal RNA", at positions 28 to 507 of the family's 1533-position model. The record is from RNAcentral.